GGGGAAAGCUUGCUUUCCUGCCGGCGAGUGGCGAACGGGUGAGUAAUACAUCGGAACGUGCCCUGUAGUGGGGGAUAACUAGUCGAAAGAUUAGCUAAUACCGCAUACGACCUGAGGGUGAAAGUGGGGGACCGCAAGGCCUCAUGCUAUAGGAGCGGCCGAUGUCUGAUUAGCUAGUUGGUGGGGUAAAGGCCUACCAAGGCGACGAUCAGUAGCUGGUCUGAGAGGACGAUCAGCCACACUGGGACUGAGACACGGCCCAGACUCCUACGGGAGGCAGCAGUGGGGAAUUUUGGACAAUGGGCGAAAGCCUGAUCCAGCAAUGCCGCGUGUGUGAAGAAGGCCUUCGGGUUGUAAAGCACUUUUGUCCGGAAAGAAAUGGCUCUGGUUAAUACCCGGAGUCGAUGACGGUACCGGAAGAAUAAGGACCGGCUAACUACGUGCCAGCAGCCGCGGUAAUACGUAGGGUCCAAGCGUUAAUCGGAAUUACUGGGCGUAAAGCGUGCGCAGGCGGUUGUGCAAGACCGAUGUGAAAUCCCCGGGCUUAACCUGGGAAUUGCAUUGGUGACUGCACGGCUAGAGUGUGUCAGAGGGAGGUAGAAUUCCACGUGUAGCAGUGAAAUGCGUAGAGAUGUGGAGGAAUACCGAUGGCGAAGGCAGCCUCCUGGGAUAACACUGACGCUCAUGCACGAAAGCGUGGGGAGCAAACAGGAUUAGAUACCCUGGUAGUCCACGCCCUAAACGAUGUCAACUAGUUGUUGGGGAUUCAUUUCCUUAGUAACGUAGCUAACGCGUGAAGU
Molecule: ribosomal RNA, 800 nt
Filed under: uncultured beta proteobacterium
Lineage: Bacteria; Pseudomonadati; Pseudomonadota; Betaproteobacteria
Description: bacterial SSU rRNA
Rfam family: Bacterial small subunit ribosomal RNA
Source: RNAcentral